Molecule: long non-coding RNA, 35881 nt
Filed under: Coffea arabica (coffee)
Lineage: Eukaryota; Viridiplantae; Streptophyta; Magnoliopsida; Gentianales; Rubiaceae
Description: long non-coding RNA (CARA_LNC000971)
Source: RNAcentral
UUUUUUUUUUUUUUUUUUUUGCAAUACAGUGAUUAUUUUUGAUUGUUGGAACAGGAUUAAAUAGCAGAUUUACGUCUUCCAUUUGAAAGCAAUAGUCAUGUGUAGCCUGGGGAAAUAUUGGGUAUGGUUUGCGUACGUAUACGGCAUCUAUAUAUAUACGUAUUCCAGAGGGUUUGAGUGAAAAUAUUAUCAGUUUUUCUUUUUGUCAAAAAUGAAAUAUCAUCAGGUGAUACUCUUAUAUUUCUACAUUUAAACUUUGUUUUUUUUUUUUUGUUUGGCACAGAACAAAAUAUCAAACUCCAACCAAUUCUUGUUAAAACUAUAAUGUACUACUAAAGUACACAAGAAAGAAAAAGAAACGUCACAGUUGCAUAUAUAUAUAUAUAUGUGUGUGCGCGCGCGCGCGCAUAUGGUUGUUAAAGGUCCUCUCCAAAUUUCAUGCAUUAUUGAAGCUGUGGAAAAUCAAUCGCUGACCAAUGUCUUUUUUUCAACAUGUCAAAGUCAAUUUCAUUCUCCCGUGGAUUGUGUAGUAUUAGAUUUUGCAAAGAAACGCGAAAUUCACCGAAAUCCAAGAAACAAGUGCAAAGGGUACUGUCACUGUCCUUGAUUUUUGAUGAAGAAAUUUAAUUAAAUCAUGGAACUCACCUAACUUGCCUUUGAAUUGUUUGUUUGAUUUACACAAGUCAAAACAAAACAAAUCCCGCUUGGCCUAGCAGUUUACUGCCUUCCAUCAAUACAUUGCGGUAUGAUUUAAGAGAAAGUGCCUAAUUUAUUAAUUAAACAAGUUUGAGUGGACUUAAGACGAAAUAAUGACCGACUUUCAAAUGCAUCUGAUGCCCGCCUUGCAGGAGUCUCUCUUUCAAGUCCUCUCAGAAAUUAUAGUCCGCAUAAUCAUAUGAUUGACACCAAUUGAGUUGAGGAUAUAUUUGAUUGGAAUAUCCCAAUGGGAGAAACUGAACGAUGCCUAGCUUGCUGCUUCUCAAUUUUUGUUGGCUGUAUAUUUUGUCUAUCUCAUUAAUUAGCAAUCCAAUUUUUCAUCAAUUUUAAUACUGACGUCCAAAGAUACCUGAUUUGGAAAUCUUCAGACUAUCAAAAAAUUUUGGAUUUGAUUGCAAGUUCAUAUCCUGUUGGUGUCUUUAGGAACAGCAAAAAAACUUUACUUCAUGCAAAAUUAAAGCGACUCGAUCGCUAUCGGCUGGGAAAAGAUCAUGGCCUCGGGCAUACAAUAUCAAUGAAGAUAUUUUGCGAUCAAAUCUCAUAACAUAUAAACCAUACAUUCUGCAGUGUGAAAAAAAUGCACUAGUUGAUGCCAUUUUAGUUUGAUUUUUGUAUUAAAACAUUUGGCAUUAUCAAUGUUAUCCUUCAUAAAACUGACAUGAGUACCUCUUGUGAAGAAAAUCUUCAGCUACUCAAUUGAUACCAUCAUUCUAGCUACUACUGCUUUAUUUGUUUAUUUUUUUCUCAGAUCAACUCCUUAAUUCUUUACGAUUAAUUAUGCCUCAUUACACUGCAGGGCAUCAAUUCAGAUAGAAAUACAUAUCAUUCACAAUCAUAUUGAGCCUUGAAAGGGAAGUCUACAAAUGGUCCUGAAAUUCUGGUUCCCCAGUAUAUAAAAUUUGAGCCGUAGAUUAUAACAAGGCCAAAGGUACAAUAUUCGUCCGAAACUGUGAUGUGGCAGCCAGAUUAAAUUUCAUCAUCAUACCAUCUCCCUUUGUUAAUAAGCAACAAGAAUAAAAUAAAUUCUGUCCAGAAAAAGAAAUUAAUAUAUGUAUUCUAAAGUGGUCGCGAGCAGAAUAAAAUAUUUUACUAUCAAAGAAUUCGAUUCAAAAAUUCCUUCUUCAUUAAUCAAAACAGUUUUUUUUUUUUCUCAUGUCAUAAUAUUUCAAUAUUCUCCCUUGCUUUGUCUAAUCAUCAUCUAUUAAAAUGUCAACCAGAUUCCGGUAGUUCCCUGUCCGUACCCUCCAACCGUUUCACAUACACUAGUAUGUGUGUGUGCGUGAGAGAGUCCCUAUAUAAAUUACUCAUCGCCAAGCUGCAAUUCCCUUUCAUACAAGCCAAACUUAGAAACAGGACAGAGCUAGCCUCAAACAAAGAAGAGGAGAAAAGCUAAGAAAUCAAGAAACUAUUGCAAAUCAAGAAAGCGAUCAGAGAGAGGAGAUGGCAGAUGAGUUUCAAGGUGAGGUUUGUGGUGGGAGUUGGUGGAAUUCAUCAAGAAGCAUGUUUGGAUCGUCCCCUUGUUCAUCUGGGAUUCUUCAUGACUUGGGAAGCUUUGGAUGGUCGACUGACUUUCUAGACUCGAAAGCAAGGUCUAGUGAUGAUCAGUCUGGUAAUUCAGCUAACUCUGAUGGUUCUAUAGUGAUUCAAGAUUUGCAAAAACCCAACCAGCCUGAGUCAGCCAGCAACAACAGCAACCUCUCUAUAGAUUCAACCCUCCAAAUUUUGGGUAUUGGCCUUUCAUCUCCAUCAACAACUGAUUGGGAUCGAACUUUGAUGUAAGCUAGCUAGCUCAAACUCCUUAAACUCCUCUUUUUUUUUUUUUUGUGGGUAUUAUGUCCCAUUAUUAAUUAUCUUUUCUUUAAAAUCUCAGUUGUGAUUUUUUUUAGACAUUUAUCCCACUAGGUUAGACAUCAUGGUCCAUGCAUUUGUUGCCAAAUGCAAAGUAGCGUAUAGUUAAAGAUAUUCACUUUUGUAAUGAUAUGGGAAAAAGGAAGUCAAGUUGAUCGAUAAAGUUAUGGUUCUUUCUGCUUGUCAUUUUGUAGGCAUGGGAGUAGUAAUGGAAGGUCUGAUCAAAGCAAUUACCAACCCAUGCUGCAAGAAGACCACAAUUCGAGCAUGAAUUAUCGGCAAGAAAGAGGGCUCGAUAGUUGUCCUGCCGAUCAGAUCCAAAAGGACUGGAGUAGUACUCUCAAGAACAACUUUUCCACCAUAGUUGAAGAAGAUUCUUCCAUUAACUCCUUUAAAUCUUCCGGGAAUCAGCCUUUGAAUUCCAUCACCACCACAAGUCAAUGUACGGCGGCGACUUGUGCUGGUGUAUCCACCAGCUUUCCAAUUAGUUCAGCUUCCUACGGUUAUUCUUCAACUUUGCUGCAAACCCUUUUCGACACUGAAGUACCUCAACCACAACAAUCUUUAUUCGGAACCCGGCCAAUGAACUAUCCAUCUACCACAAGUUACCAGAACGAGUUUUCACCUUCUUUGCCCAAAUUUUCUCCCUUGCCAAAGCUACAAAACACUAACAGCUUGCAACUCUCGACCAACCCGAACUUCUGUAAUGGAUCAGCUGCAGCUUUCAAUGAUUUGCGGGUCAACUUUUUCCCUUCAGUUCAGUCGCAGUUUCCCUCCUCAACGUUUAACGAGAAACCAAGUCUUCCGAGCAUCACUACAAAGGUAAAGGGUUUUUACUUGUAGCCUUAUAACCAGGGUUCCAUUCUCUGGGACUUCUAGCCUUAUAACGAGGGUUCCAUUCUCAGUAUCCCUUUUUCUUUUUUUUCUUUUUUUUUUUUUUUGGGGGUAGGUUCCAUUCUCAGUACCUUUAUUUCCCCUAGAUCUCUUUCUUCUUCUUUAUUGCCUCUCCCUUUCUUUAAAAAUGAAUUAAAAAAUAAAAAAGAUUGUGAAACUGGAUUGAGAAGUCUGAUGAUUAUAAGCCACUAGGGUUUUACACUUUUACUCAGUACUCAAAGUUGAUACAUUUCUUGAAAAUUUUCAGGUUAGUAAUGAUGGAAUCCGAGGUUUAGGGUCCGUGGCAAAGAAAAGUAGCAGUGAACCGGCAUUCAAACGUCCUCGUAUUGAAACACCAUCGCCAUUGCCAACUUUUAAGGUACAAUAGCCCUGUUGAUUAAGCUUUUGACUAAAGUGAUCUUUAAGCUUUUUCUUUAAUUACGAGUCAAGAUCAUUAUAACUACAAAGAAAGAUGAGACGUUUUCGGCUUUGAUAUACCAGGUUCGAAAAGAGAAGUUGGGGGACCGAAUAACUGCCCUCCAGCAAUUGGUUUCACCUUUCGGAAAGGUAAACAUCUGGAUUUUGUUUUCCUGCUUUUUCUGAAAUUACUAUUCAUAUAGGGUUAACUUGGUUUAUUAACUAUGUUGCUCUUACUUUCAGACAGAUACUGCUUCAGUUCUCCAUGAAGCUAUUGACUACAUCAAAUUUCUACAUGAUCAAGUCAAUGUAAGUCGUCCUAUUAUCACUUUUUCUAGAAUUUUUCGCCCAAAAUAAAGUUCAAAAAGUUAAUCUAAAUAUUCAAAACUAUGAGAAUAACAUUGAUAUAAUUCUUUCCUCAUGAAUGGUUUUAGGUGCUAAGUACUCCAUAUUUGAAAAAUGGAUCACCCAUUCAGCGUCAACAGGUAUGGCAUUACACUGCAGUAUAAGAUUUUCCAUGGUAGUAAUGUUUUCUAUGACUUCCACAGACUAAUGUAAGUGAAUUACUAAUAUGCUCUGCAGGCUUCGGAUAAAGUAAAGGAUCAAGAAGGGUCAAAAGAAGACUUGAAAAGUAGAGGGCUUUGCCUGGUGCCCAUCUCGAGUACCUUUCCAGUUGCUGCUGAGACUACAACUGAUUUCUGGACUCCGACAUUUGGGGGCACAUUUAGGUAGAGGAGGAGGAGGAGGAGAAGAAGAAGAUAAUAAGCUCAAAACUUUACACGAAGGAAAUCAUAUAGUAGAUACUAGCUAAUAACAAGUUAAUCUCAUACGAAUCCUGAAAAGUUUGUUGGAUGAGUGAAAACUGAUCAGAUUGCUGUAGUAGUAUGCAUGUAUUGAAGAAAAAGCAAGACAGGAGAAAAGGGAAAAAGAGUAAGUGGCCCUCUCCAAGGAAGGGAAGCCAGCCAAUGCUGGGCCAUCUACAGGCAAAAAUGAUGUAGCAGUGCAAAUGAUUAGGUACCAGGCUGCCAGCCAAGGGAAAAUUAUAUAGAGAGCUGUAAGUUUCAAUGUUUUAAAUAGCUUAAUUUGAUGUUGAUUAGGAACAGGAACAGGUGCUAAAUUUAGCUGAAGGAUAUAGACGAAUUAGUUUCAGAGGACAUGCAUGUAUUGUUUGUGGAGCUGGAUUUAGCAGAUUAAGGGAAUUUUUGUUCCUGUUUCUUUAUUUAGAUUAUUUAAAUCAAGGGUUGUUACUUAAUUGUCACCUUUUUCAUUUGUCCAAAUUACCUGAUUUAACAAAUCAAAGUAGAUGAAAUAGUGACAUAUUUUCUUGAAUUUUCAGUACUAAAGUUUGUGGAUGGGAUUAGUUUUGUUUGUUAUGGCUUUUGAAUUGUUUAUCAAUUUGGAAUGUUAGUGGAAGUCAGAGGGCGUCCCACUGUUCCAUCUUUUAGGGUUUCUCAUUAUUGGUAUGAGCCAUAUAGCUUUCUUUGUUCAUGCACGCGUUGCUGCCCAUGGUAGCCUUCCAACCUUUUCUAUAUUUUGGUACUAACAAUGCUCCUUUUGCUGUUUUCACCUGCAAAACAAUGGCUUAUGCUCAUUCAAGGACCCCUUCCUAUUUUUUACAACAAUUUCCUUCACCAUGAAUUUUGAGUAUAGCUAGCUUUACAUCCACGAGGUGAUUGUCAUCAACGAAAAUUUAGCUUUACUCUUUCUUUCGUUCAUUCUCUUUUUGUCUCCCGUCCAAGUUGGAUAACAAAUUCCACUCCAAAUGGCUCAUUAGUUUUUAAUCAGUAGUUGUUACUUAAUUCGUAGAUAAACAGAUUUUUUUUUUCUCAUAUAGAAAAUAAAAACGUAUGGUAACGUCUUAAUUUUUUUCAAACUUUUUUUUUAUUAAUUCAAUUUACCCCCAAAAAGAUUAUUCAUCAAGCCAUUGUUCCUUGUGUUCAAUUUGUUUUUAGAUAAUGACUUCUUAAUUAACAACAUAGAUGACUAAAAAAACAAUGACCAAAAAGUGACCUGGAAAAGAAAAUGUUUGAAAGGUAAAGAAAUUAAUCUAAUUCAACUUUACACACCUAACUUUUUAAUCAUUUAAUAUUAUGUUCCUCCAACUAUGAGUUCAAGUACCUUAAACUAAUCGCCAUUACUUAGCCCUUUGGCACAAUGUCACCUUGACUUUUUAAACUUUUUCUUUUGAGCACAAUAAAAUUGGAAUUAUAUCAUUGUGGCAACACAAUUCAGAUUUAAUUUAUACUCUUUGUCUAAAUAACAUACUAUAUCGAUAUGGAGCAAAGAAAAAUUAAGAAAAAGUUAAUCUUAUAGUAAUUAAAAUGCUUUAAUGUGUUCGGUUUAAAUAAGAUGCUAAUCAGAAACUGCAGUGGUUAACUAUUCUUCUUAUUAUUUCAUUUAGUCUUUAAACAUCUUAAGGUAAUCUCGUUGCUAAAUGCAACGUUGCCAUUAUGCUUAACAAACGUAAGUUCGUCUCUAACGCAAGAAAUAUGUGAUCAUGACCAUGUCAAAUUUUGGAUUGUGAUGUGCAAAGAAGAAGUAGAGGAGACUCUGAACUGUUUAUCUGCUUUGUAGAAAUAAGCCUGUUCACUAAGGAUAACCAAAAUCAGAGCGGAGCCAGCCAUUCAAGAAAGCAAUAAGGACACUCAAACUGGGAAAGAUUGAGCAACUCAAUGUACAUGGGUAAAUGGUGCAAGAAGUGUGCGAUUUAUAUAAAGGUUAUAUAUAUAUAGGUCCAUUUCUCAUGGGGACCUUAUCCAUCUUUAUAUUGGUGCAACGGUGGAAAAGUUUUGAAAAAUCUCUUUCGGGACUUCAUUUUCCGAAGGUUCUCAAGUCAUUACUUUCAAACUAAAAGAAUUUCCAUCUGAAAAGAACAGUGAUGCUAUCUUAUUUUGUUUUUAUUACUUUUUUAAAAAAAAAAUUUUACAUGCAGUUACAACCGAUCACACCAACAUUUAGUGGCACCCAUUUUAGCUCUAGAAGAUUAUACAGAAGAACAUCCUCUUAUGGGAUGCAUAAGACAAAAAUUCAGGAUAUAGCUAUUAAUUAGCCAAGCUUGGACGUUCCAUUAAUGUAUUUGGACCGCCACAAACAUGAUGAGAAUUGACAAUUCCAGUACCUAAUUAAUAAUGGGACUCGAGAUUUUCCUUCUGUAAGACAUGUAAAAUGGGGUACACCUGGUAAAAAAGAAAAAAAAAAUUUGUACAAAGAUUAUUUGAGAAGCUUAAAUUGGAAGAAUCCCACGGACAAGCGACUGAUCAUAGAAAAGUACUUUGACAGCAUGCCGAAACUUUACUUGACAAGUAAUUCUUUGGGCUCGAGGGGUAUCCGCUUUAUUGUCUUUCCGUGACAAACGAUUUUUGGGUCGAUCGGAUAGUGAGUAUUAUACCAUAUAUGUCUACAAUUCCAGCAUCAGGGAUCGGUGCCUCUUCCUAUAGAUCAAGUGUUCAUAGCAAAAUAUUUUUGAUCCUACAUAUAUAGGAGAUAAUUAGUAUGAAAGAAUACUAUAAAGGAAAGGCAUCUAGGCAUCAUUGUGAUGUUAAUAAAAAAAAAAAAGGGUACAUGACUCCCGGACGUAACAAUCUUGCUUUAGUGAACAAGACUUCUUUUCUCAUUUUGGCCAAUCGGGGGCAAAUUCUACCGUCCAUCUUCAAUGAGAAGUCUUACUUAUUAAAAGGUCCUUUGCCUUUUUAUACAAAACUUUGCACCUGAUCUUCCGAGGCCUGCCUUUCAUUCGAGUACAGCCAUAAAGUGAUUCAUCUGAUAUUAAAGUAGAUGUUUGCAAACUGUGAUGGCCAGAAAGGUUUCUGAUCCCCUUCAACAAUUUGAAUAUAUAUGUCUUCAGUGUUGAGAGAUGCCAAUAUUUGUGAUUCAUCCGUAUCCAUUGAUCGAUAACUCACAAUCACGUACGAUCCAAAACUGAGUUUUAAGUGUACAAAUUUUUGCCACUAAAUUGAUCAGUAGUUUGUACCAUCAUAAAACAUGUCGUUACGUACGCUAAGAUCUUUCUACAGGUGCAAACCUGCCUAACAAACUACAAAGAACAUGCAUAUAUCCCAUAAGCAUAACGAUGAAGAAAAUUUCAUGAAACACCUUUGUAUUUGUCUGUCCCCUUAUUAAUAAUAAGGGGAUUAAAAGAUAGGUAAAGACAUACCUUACUGAAUGCAAUUGACAUCGAAUAUAUGUUAAUAAAUCAAAUAGAAUUGGUAGCAAACUAAUGUUAGGCUAAAUUUGAAUGGUGAUUCUAUUUCUUGUGCAUAUAUCAAUUACGCAUAAAUGUCUUUGUCCAGAAUUAAAGGAGGAGGUGAAAGAUAGAAGAAAUGCAUAGCUAGACACAAUUUGUUUGUAUGUUUUUGUAGGAUUCCGAUCCGAACUUUCAUGAACACACAAGCUUUGGGGAGCUUCCAGAGUUGAAGAAGAUCAGAUUUCUGUCUGUUUCCUCUUUAAUUAACAAGUGGUUUGCAACAAUUUUCCGAAGGUGGACUGAUAGGAAAGUUUGGGAAAAAGUGAAACGAGAUAAAAUGCUAUCUAGCAUGGAGGACCUCCUUUAAGAAGAUGAGAUGGACCACGAGUCUCCUGGAAAUAUUCUCUGACAGCCUUCAAGCUAUACAAGGUAAAUGCAUGUGGCCAUGUCUGUUGAAGCUAUUCUCAGAACUGUGUAAAAAGCCACAUGCCAUCAUCUGUAAAAGAGAAAAAUCAUUGUUUACCACCUAUCGGGUGGCAGCAAAUCUGUUGGUGCAAUAUUUUACCACCUAUCGGCAGGCAAGUGAUCGGCUGUCAAGCAUCAGCGCCAACACAAUCUAAAGAUUGUCCCUCAACUGAUUGGCCGAUUCGAUUGCUUGAACUUCUCAUGCGUUAUUUAUCUAACAUGAUGAACAAUGUCUUUCAUCAUCUCAUUCAAAUGCAAUUGUUGAUCUAUAAAUGGUUAUGCUGCAAAUUUUAUUGACCCGCUAUUUGGUUUCACACACACAUCUGUUCUUGGUACAAAAUCCACUAAUUAAUCUAUUCGUCGUGACUCUUUGUUUAUAUUUCACGCCAGCUUGCUGAGUUCACAGCUUGAUAACAUUUUCAAUUUGGUUACAAUUCUUAUUCAGUUAAAUUAAGUAAAUUUGAAGAACAGAACUUUGCCAUAUUAUUUUUGUUAAUAAAAGGGUUAACGAAUCUCCACAAAAUUUCUCUAAUGAAUGUGUAAACAAAAAAUUACUAAAAAAAAAUCCAAAAAUCAAAUGCAGAACAACAUGUUUAUGGGCUCCUCUUAGGCCUUUCUGUUUGGGUCGAUGGACAAAUCCUGGGCCAUCUUGGCGAAAUCCAUAUUAGAAAAGGAGAAGAAUCUGAAAAGUUCGGAAAAUGAAGUCUCGCCCAAUUACAUGGGGCGAUAGCCACACGCAAAUGGAUGGGCCAAUGAUUUCUCCCAAAGCCCAGAUCUUUAACAAAUCAAACAUCUUUGAAUUGAUUCAUCUUUAACCUACCGCAAUUUGCCCACAACAGUUAUCCAAGAAAACAAAAUAUUUUUCUCAUUGUUUCCGAGCUACUGCAAGCAACGUUCAUUGCCUCAGUAUCUGUUAAAACUUCGUGGAAUUCAGCAAAGUUGCUGCUAGCCUCGUACAGUGGUUUGCAUUGUUUGUUGUAUUUCAACUUGAUCAAUUUCAGCAGACAACCAUAGCGGUCUACUAUUUGUGCCUCUUUUAAAUUGUGCAAGAGAUGCAUAAUAUGGUAAUAACAAUCCUUGAUCUCCAAGACGGCAUCUCAAAAUGGUAGACAAAUAAUGAUCUUUCAAACGAUUGUCCAAAGGGUGUCUCCUAGGCCCUGGAUAACGCACCUUAAUCACACUCGAUUUAUCGUGUGAAUGUAUAUUAAUAAUUAUUCUUGUCUUCGUUUGUAUUUAUACACCUUUUCUAAUUAACUUUAUACACUCAAAUCUUUGGGAUAUGGACCCGUGUCAUUCACAAUCUCCACCGAGGAAACAAAAGGGGCGCUAGCUAAAAUUGACAAUUGAGAACAAUCCAAACCAAGUAUACCAAUUAUAUCCAAGAAUUUCAAAGUUCCUUAAUGCAGAUUAAAAUUAUACAAAUCAAGAAAACAUGAGCUCUAGGAAAAGGGCACAUUUAUUGUAGUAAUCUGUUGAUAAAAGGAGAGAGUCAUAUAGGAUAACUGAAAUCAAUCGGAUCCCUUCAAUUUCUUGGCAAUGCCUGCGAUGUAUUUGCCCUGGUGGAAAGCAAUUUGCAGCUCAAGCUCAGUAGGCUGUCUGGAGCCAUCACCAGCAAAGGUUCCAGCGCCAUAGGGACUGCCACCUUUGACCUUCUCCAUCUCAAACAUUCCAGCUCCAGCAGUGUAGCCAAUAGGAACAAAAAUCAUCCCAUGAUGCACAAGUUGGGUAAUGGCUGUCAAUCUGCAAAUAUUGUCUCAAGAAUCAGUUGAAUCAUCUCUCAUUCGCGUCCAAUGUCUGAAAAAAGAUGCUCUAGAAGUCGAAUUAUUAAUCCAGUUGGUACUUACGGGGUGGUCUCUUGGCCGCCUCCUUGGGAUCCCGUCGAGAAGAACAUACCAGCAGGCUUGCCUGCCAGCUUCUGGGCUCCCCACAAGCUGCCUGUUGCAUCCAUAAAUGCCUUAAAUUGGGCAGCCAUCAUCCCGAAUCUGGUGGGGAAGCCAAAUAUGAAAGCAUCAGCCUCAGGGAGUUCAUGUGGAGUAAUUAUAGGGACAUCGCUCUUUUGGGGAGCACCCAUCUUUCCAAGAAUUUCCGCAGAAAGAGUUUCUGGCACCUGUUACACAUUACAAUAAAACUCACAUCAGCGUGUCUGCCUAACGCUUUGAACUCUAGUUUGACCCAAAUAUGCUGAGAAAAACCAUUAAAAAAAAAAACAAAAACAGAUGUGCAGUCUUGACAUAAUUUCUAAUUUGACUUUGACAAAAUUCUCAAAAUUAAUAGUCAAGUCCAAGAAUCUAAUGACAGUGUUCAGGUAGGACUAUGCACAAACCUCUGAAUUUCCCCUAAUUGAGAAUGUAUACUUUGACAAUAUCAACAGAAGCAUUUAUUGAUAUCGUCUGUGUACGAAGGCUACCAAACAACUAACAUUUAGUCCAUAUGUGUAAUCUGCAGGAGCAAAAUUUGUGCAAAAAGAAGUUGCAUUAAUUUGGACAAUUCCAGUUACGUGUCAAGUACCUGCCACAGUUUUGCCUCCACCCCUUCCACACAAUCAGCUCCCUUCUUGAUCUCAUGGGCAAGUUUCUCAACAUGUCCAUAGGUUGAGUAGUAACUGCAACAAAGAAGAAAACCUUUUAUAGACCGAAAUCUAAUUCAAAGUGGAAAACUUCAGGCUUUUAGAUUUAGAAAACACGAAGCAGCAUGAAUCAAUCCAAUUUUUUUAUUGGUCUUUUGCUAUUGCUUUCUACUAAUCUAGGAACCCAGAAAACAGUCAGAGUGAAAGUCACCAUCAACCAAAAUCUGCAGUUGUGGAUUUACUGUAGAGAUGAUAAAAUCAGAGAGUCAAAUGCACUUGCAACUAUAAAGCACAUAACGAGAUUAUAAUCCAUGGACAACAUUUCGUAACCUUUCCCACAUAUUAACAUUCAAAUCACAACAGCCAAACAUAUCAAUGGACAAGAAUAAUUCUAAGAUUCAGAUGCGGUUCUUUAUGUUCAGGGAUAGACCAAAGUGCAACAAAACAAAAUAAUUGCAGCAAAUCAAAGUUGUAUACAAACAUAUAGCAAUGAGUUUCAAACCAAAAAAAGAUGCAUGAUAUGAUCAGGCCCACAAAACAAGAUAAAGAUAAUAUGAAAUACUGAGAUGAGAAAACUAGCCCCAUCCCGUGAUUCUUUUCAUUUGAAAUGGAAAAGACAUCAACAUAAAGGGACGACGACUGAAACAACCCUGAUACAUCCUAAAAGAAUGUAACGAGUGAGAAAAGCGUACACAAUGUAGACUUUGGUGGCCAUUGGAUCAAGAAACUUUCAGUGGUUGAAGAGAAGGAAAGGCAGCUCUUUUGUUUUAAAGUAUACUGGGAGAUGGAAGAAACGUUGGAAGAUUGCUUAAACAAAAGGGUGAACCCCUGUAUAUAUAGCGGGGAACGAGUUGACCUUUCAAUUCGUCUUUCUUUUUUCUUUUCACUUUUUUAGGUGAGAGAUAAUUAAUUUGUUUGUUACAACAAUACAACUGAAUCGCCUCAGAGCUGUCUCAGAUUAAUUUGAUCUGUCGUUUUUUGAAUUAUUAUUUGUCUCUGUUAAUAAUUAAUGGAGUCUUCGCUUUAUUUCUUUUCCUUUUUUUCUGAUAGAAGCAAAAUAUGGUGGAAUCUGUUGCCUUAAAGAAGUUUAAAAUUUAUGUCCCAUCAUAUUAGUUGUUGGUGAACAUUUUCUCUUUUUUUUUUUUUUUUUUGUCGACACAGAGGUGUCCGGGUCAAUCCUUACGGGUCCGACUAAUCCCCUGCGGCCAAGGGCCGGCGCUCUAACCCGACCCGAACGCGAUAAGUGCGCGGAGGAACCUAGCGGAGCGGAGACUUGAACUUGAGAUCUUAAGGAUCACCGGUGAAAGGCGCUACCGCUGAACCAUUCAUGCGAGGCCGAACAUUUUCUCUUAUCAAUACUAUUGGAAACUUGUGCAGUUAAUACAAUAUCUUCCUUCCUGGACUAAGGGCUCCAUUGGUUGUCAGUAAAAACUGUUUUGAAUGAUCUAAUAUUUUUUGAAUAAAAUGUAAUUUUAUGUAAAUUAUUUAUAAAACUUAACAAUAGAAACACAAUUAUUAUAUAUGAGAUCCACAUAAACAGUAACAAAAUAUCGCACCUAUGUUGUAAGAAUCUUCAAGAAAUUUAUAAAGAGUUGCAAAACGUUUAAAAAAUGUUACACUAUCCAACUUCCUUCCUUAUUCUUCUUUACAUUUCCUUUCAUAUUAGUUUUUUUUAACUAUCUUUUUUUUUAACCUUCCCUACUUCCCCUAUUUCCUUUCUAUCCCAAACUUACCGGUCAGAAUUUGAACCCUAAUCUACAAGGUGGGAGUUUAACUCUUUAGCCACUAGCCCUUUACCAUCCUAUCACAAAGUAACUUGCCCAUUAGAAUUUGAACCCUAAUCUACUAAGUGGGAGUUUAACUCCUUGGCCACUAGCCCUUAACUACUAGUGGUUCCAUGUCAUAUCAGUUGUUGGUAGACAUUUUACUAAAACAAAUUUUGGCAACUUAAGUAAUUGACAAGAUAUUCUCCUUAAGCUUCUUUAUUUUCCUGAUAUUGCAAGGAUAUUGGUUGGACCUAAAAAGUUUUUUAGAUACGAAUCUACCAAUUAAUGGAAAAAAAAUCAACAGUUGCGUAUCUCUCGGACGGGACUGCAAUGAAUUGUAGAUCGUAACACUAGCGCUAAAUGGGUCAACAAAACUUGCCCAAUAUGUGCACUAAAGGCUUGCGUAGAUGACAAGAAUUUUUUUUUUUUUUAGUAAAAAAAAUUGGAUGAGUUCGAUUUUGAUUAUCAUAUCAGGGAUCAGAAUAUGCUCUUAAAGCCAUAGGUUAUUUUAAAGAUGUUCUUAUAGACAACACGAUUUUUUUUUUUUUUUGAAAAAACAAUUCGUUCUUAUCAAUUGAACCAACUUGUAUUGGAAUGCAUAAUGACACGUUCAUUUUCAAUCAGAUGGAUCCUAGUGGAUCCUAAGUAUCCUGCCCAAAAAAAAAAAAAAGAGAUAUAGUAGAGUAAUUUCGGGUCUAUCCCAAGCACAAAUAUUCAUUGUUACCGUCGGUUCAUUGAUGGAGCUGCUUGGACCAUUUCCGUCAUUUUCCAUAAUAAUUAAAUAAACCAAUGGUUGAUGUCACGCUUCUCAUCAUUACCUCGUAAUCUUUGUUUAUACUAUCUGCAAAAUCAUCUGGACGGCUCAGUUGUAUAUCAAUGGCUAGCUUGCAUUUUAGGAAGAACUCGAAGAAGGUGCAGCUGGGAACAAAGAAUAAGAAAAAGUAAAAGUAGCAGUUCUAAGUAACUUUCGUGAUGGCUGUUGGUUUUUGUUUCGAGAGCCUAUCUUGGAUUGGUCCACUACAGUUCCGCCAUCAAUAUUCUAGACUACAUCAUUGACUUGACCACAUUAUCUUCAUGGCUUCUGCGCUAGAAAAGAUGACAGUCCCUGAAUUUUUUUUCCUUCUUUUUAUUAUUUUUUUUAUUUUGUUUGUUAGGUCUUUUUUCUUAAAACCACGCUCAUGGGGAAUGCAUGGGGAACAGCAAAAGGCUUUAAAAAAUUGCCUAGUGAUGAAUCUCAGCACGACACAAUCUGAUUUUAUAUACUCCCUCCAUUUUUUUAUAACUAACGUUUAAGGUUUUGCACACCAAUUAAGAAAAGUUUUUCAUUGUUUAAAUCUAUACACUACUUUCCUUUUGUACCCUCAUUAAUUGUCCAAUUCACUCAUGUUUUCUCUCACUAUAGUAUUAAAUGGUACUGUUUUACUAGGUCAAAAGCAAAUAGAGAAGUAAUAAUUAUUAGGAAUAGUAAUAAAGAGCCUGUAUUGGUAAAGAGAGAUAAAAGGGUAAAAUUGUGAAAAAAUAAUUAAUGCUGCAUGGGGAUAAUACAACGACAGAUAAAAGUACUUAAGAGCAAAUUUCUUAAACGUCAGAUAUAAAAAAAGGGAGGGAGUAUAUAUAUAUAUAUAUAUCUUCUCCCUCGCCAAACAACAAUUCCAUUAACAUGUUUAGGUUUCUAUCUUCUGUCAGACAGAUUUGCAUAGUUUUGCAUGCAUGAACCUGUGAUUAAUUUGCUCCAUCUUAAUAAUACUUCUUGUCUCGUAGCUCGUAAUCAACAACACUAAUACUCCAAAGCGUGAGGCAAAAAAUUGUUGAGAUUCUAGCAAUUAGAUGAAGUCAUGAAGCUGGAUAAAGUUGCAAAUUACUAACAUCUUUUGUGACAAAUCCAAAUACAUGUUCGCUACAUAAAGCUUACGGGUCCGGAAAUUUAAAUGAAAGUAAAAGGAAAACGCCUUAUAUUCCUUGAAUUGGCAACAAUAAUACUCCCUCCCUUUUUUUAUAACUGACACGUUUAAAGUUUUGCACACCAAUUAAGAAAAGUUUUUCAUUGUUUAAAUCUAUACACUACUUUCCUUUUGUACCCUCAUUAAUUGUCCAAUUCACUCAUAUUUUCUCUCACUAGAGUAUUAAAUGGUGCUGUUUUACUAGGCCAAAAGCAAAGAGAGAAGUAAUAAUUACUAGGAGUAGUAAUUAAGAGCCCUGUAUUGGUAAAGAGAGAUAAAAGGGUAAAAUUGUGAAAAAAUAAUUAAUGCUGCAUGGGGAUAAUACAACGACAGAUAAAAGUACUUAAGAGCAAAUUUCUUAAACGUCAGUUAUAAAAAAAAGGAGGGAGUAAUUGAAACAAUACUACUAAUGUGCAGAAUUAGAUUAUUCACCAUGCAAGCAUCAUAUUCCAUGAACAACUGAUCCCAAAAGUUGCAAAUUAUAUAAAGUCGCAUAUAAAAUGGUUACUAAUUAAUGCAACGAGCUUAGGAAAUAAUAAUAGCUUUUAAGCAAGAUCUCGAGUUUAAUCCUGUAAAAAGGAGACACAAAUACCGAGCGAAAUUGCCCUCCUUAUGAGGUCUAACGAACAACGGAGAAUUCUACACCCCAAAAAAAAAAAAAGAAGAGUACAUGAAUGGCUGCGGAGUUGGAAUCCAGCUCUUGUUAAUUUCCUCGAAUCUAAAUCGUAAUAUAAUCGUCACGCCCUCGUCAUUAUUAAAAUAAAGGCCCUCCUCUUUUUUUUUUUUUUUUUGAGGUCAUUAUUAACAAAAGCUUACACCAUCGAUUUCUUCCCAACGCCGUCAAUCCAUAGAAGUUCUGAGAUAAUAGAAGUAAGUGAGCUGGCAGACGAACUGUGGAAUGGUGGAAAUAAUUGACCAGGCAAUAGGCGGCCGGAUGGCGAAUCUUUUCAUUUGCUAAACACUAUCUAUCUGCUUUGCUUUUAUUUUCGACGCCUAAUAAUAAUAGCUUUGUUUGGAUUGGCUUUUAUUUCUCAAAAUUUAUUUGCUUACAUCAUCAUUACAAUUUUCAAUACACUUUUUUACCUUCCCAAUUACCUUUUUAUCUCACAUACAUCACAUCACAAAAAGUGCUACAGUAAAAAUAUCUCUAAUAAUUCACAAUCCAAACAAUAGAGGGAUAAUUCUAUAAACCUCCCCUAAGGUUUCUGAUCUAAUAAUUGCAACUAUUCUUUUGAAAUUGAAAAAUUACACUUACCUCCAUUGGUAUUAUGAAAAGACUACAAUAACUUUGACAACUCUACAAAUUCUAAAUAAAAUUGGGUAUAAAGGCAAAAAAAAAAAAAAAACCUCAUCUUGUAAAUAUUUCUUUAUCCAAUAGCUCUAACCUUAUCUCACCCGAUACAUUAAAUAUUCAAUUCUUAGGUGAUUUUGAAUAAACUCCUUGCUUAGUUUUAUAAAUAGCCGACUAGUAGGGAUGCAUUUGUUGAAAACGGUUUUUUCACAACUUACACUGCAAAAGCAAAAAAGGAAGUCCAAAUGUUAAAAAAAUGAUACCUUGAAACAUGGCCUAAAUUUUUCUACAAAAAACUACCUUAAAAUUUUGUACUUAAUAAGUAAUGCUGGUGUUUGAUUUCUUUUGUCAUUUCAUUUAUUUUGUAAAUCAAAUAGGGGGCAAUAUAGGAUAUUUAUUAAAACUUUUUGUGCUUACGUCACCAUUUUUUACCAAAACAUACUUUCUAAAAGAGGUUUCUAUAAUUUUUUAAAUUACAAGGGAAGUGGUUGCAAUCGUUAGAAAAUCGUUAUAAACCUUAGAGAAGGUUUUUGAAAUUAUUCCAUAUAUAAAUAAUCACAAAAAAUAACAGUAUAAUUUAAGUCUAUGAUUAGUGUCCCCUCGGUCCGUACUCUACAAACUAGGAACUUUCAUAAUUAUAAUCUUCUUGGGAUUCAAAAUUAAACUCCUCGUAUCCGAAGAAUAUGUUUACGAGGCUACCAAAGUCGUUGGAACGCUAGGAGGUGCUUUGCUUGACUUUGCACUGGUUCAAAUCCAGUGCAUCAAGAACUAUAAACCUCUGGGGAUGCUUUACUUGACUUUGCAUUGGCUCAAAUAUAUCCAGUGCAUCAAGAACUAUAUACCUUUCUUUAUUUUUCUUUUUUACUGGUUUUCUAUAUUUUAUCAGCCGAAAAAGUUUAGUUAGAAUAAAGUUGCCGGCUUUAUGGAAUCUUUCAUGUAUAAAAUAUUAGUUCACGAAACAAGAAACAUUUGCUUGAUCUUGAAGCUGCCGUCUGUGAAAUGGUCUGGUCAGCAUAAUCAAAUCUGAUCGGCAUAUUAUGUGAGAGAAGUGUUCAAAUAAAUUUUCCAAUCAGACUUCAAUGUAUCUAAUCAGCAGAUGUAAUGCCAAGCCAAGUUAUAAAGUCAGUGAUUAGACAAGCAAUACGACAUAAUUACGAAUGGCAAGCAACUGGCUUGCCAGAGCUACUAAUUCACAUUUAUCAUUAUCAUUAUCAUUAUUAUUAUUAUUAUUGUGGUUGUUGUUGCUAUUGGUUUCUUGGUGCGGAAAUUGCAGGUCCCUCAGUGACCAGACAAAAGAAAUUUGAUGGAAUCGUGGAAUUACAGAUGAAUAAUUUAUGGACCUUAUAAUUAAAAGCAUAAUAUAUAUAUAUUCAAAGUCGGUCAUUUUUAGUGUCACUGUGGCUGAGGUGCAAUAUGUGGGUAUGGUGUAUGUAUGAAGGAAAAGGAGGACAAGUUUUUCAUUGACGAAUUUCCGGUUUCCUACUAUAAGAGAAGAAGUGAGAAAAGGUUUUUUUAUAUCCAUAUUUUCUUUUAUUAUUACGCUAUCUGCAUUACAUUAUAAAUGUGGAAGUUGGUUGAUGUAGUUAUCCCACUUAAGUCAUUCAUUGAUAAUAUGAUCCAUAACAAUGUUCUAACACUUGGAAAAAGUAUAAACAUGAAGUUCCAAGUGCCUUAGGGUUGGUUAGGUGCACAAUUAUUCAAUUGCAGAUGAAAUCACAGAAGUUAAUUAAAAUUUCGAGUGGUUUGACCAACUAACUACAAUGCAUGCCCCGAUCCAUCACCUCAAAGCAAUUUGUCAUAUUGUGUCAUAUGGACAUGUAGUGACGUCAAUUAAUUAAAUCAUUCAUGCAAGGACACACAUAAUUUUAAUCCAUUUGUAGAGCCUAGUUUUGUUGAUUCCAAAAAAAUGGUGUGCAAUUACUGGAACUUAAGCCUGCAUGAGGGUUUUGAGCUUUGUUCUCUGAUUAAGUUGGUAGAAAGGUUUAUUGAGGUAAAAAGAAAUAUUUUUUUUUUUUUUCCAUAGAUACUGGUUUUACACAAGAAAAGGGCUCAUAUAAACUCUAUCUGUAGGACGUACAAUUUAUGCGAGAUAGCUGUAUGUAAACUAUAGCCCGUAACAGGAUGACCCAUCAACACAAGCAAGUGUCUUGUAUUAAAUCAUUUCAGAGUUACUUUUAAUUUGAAUCCGAUAGCUUUUUCUCUCUAAUUUGUGGUUCAACGUCGCGGUCGUGCAGUAGUCACAUGAUUGUUCCAUAUCUACCGCGACAUAUCAAAUGUAUAUUAUAGUAGAUAAGAGUUAUCAAAUAUUCAAAAAAAAUUUGCGUUGCAAUUUUUUGUCUCACAAAAAAAAUUUUUUGGUUUCAUUUCCAAUUUAAAAUAGCGUGAGUCAGGCGAGUUUCAAUCGAUAUGCAAUUAGUCUGAGUUGACUCGAUUAGUAUUGAUUGAGUUAAAUCGAGUCAUAUCGAACACAAAUCCACUAGUGACUAGAAAUCGGGAUCAGAGUUGAUACAACUCGAGUUAAGUCAAGUCGUAUCAAGUAUCAACUCUGUAGGUACAUAAUAAUACGACUGGAAAAUCAGCUACAACAACUCAGCCAGCAUACGCCACAAAGAAAAUCAGGAUCCGAGUCUGAGCCUAAACACUCGACAAUCGAUGACGACUUUAAUUUUCAGGCAUAAGCACUUGGUUUAACAUGUAGCCUAAGGACAUAAUGGCCCCCGAGUGGAAGGAAGCACGCCAGCAAGACACGUUAAGUAGGAGAAAUGGCUUUUGCUUCAAAAAUGCCCUUAAAAACGUGGCCCUUCCCAUCAUAAUUUCUGAAGCAUUAGGGUUAGAAGGUAUUAGAUUUACAAAGCAUAUGGAGUGUAUCCUUUUUCGCUUUUAUGGUAGAGUUUCACCCUCCCAUCAUAAUUAUUGCCUUGUAGUUGCCUUUUGGGAGCAUAGCGCUAUGAAUAUGUGGUGGGCUUUCUGCUCGUGUUGAGCCACUGCUGAAUCCUCCAAUAAUUGCAAAGGAAAUGUAGCUCUCCCUUCGAAUGCUAACGGCAAAAUAUUCCAUUUUCCAACUAUCUAGAGGACCCUGGUUGCAUGCCUUCUUACUUCUGUCCCCCCCCCCCCCCCCCCCUUUUUUUUUGACUAAUUUCUUCCCUCCCUUUUCUUCUACUCCUUUUGCUUUAUCUUUCCUUUCUUUUUUUUUUUUUUUUCUUUUCUAUGGGCGUUCGUUUUGUUCUUUUCCUAUUUUGUCUUAUGGAGCUCACAAUUACGGGGAAGCACGAGACUACACAAGACAAGAUUCGGGCUUCAUGAGGUAGGUAAGGUCCAUUUUGUCCUAAACAUGUAGAAAUAGGCCAUUACAUACAUAUUCAUCAAUCCCCAUUCGAGCUUUGCAAAAACGGUAGCCCAAUGAUUUUGAGAAACGAAGAAUACGUUACGGAUGAUUUCUUGUGCUCUUGGGCUGGUAGUAUUUGUCGUUGUCACAAGAAAAGUUUAUUUUUGGAUUGUAUUUUUCAUAAUUUUUUAUGAAAAAUAUACUAUAAUAAUUUGAUAUAUGUGAGAAAAAAAGAUAAUAGAAAAAUGUAAUUACGAAAAACGACGUAAUUUUUCGACGAAAAACAACAAUUCAAACAAGGCCUUAUUUUGGGAUAAAAUUUUCGUUAGGGGAAAAAUUGAUUAAAUUUUACUUUUAAGUUUUAUUUAUUCCAACAGAUGAGUCUUGAUCCAAUCGUGUAUCGGUAAGAUUUUCCAUUACAGCCUCCCUGUGCUGUUCAAAUGCAGGGACUCAAAGUCCGAUUUUUUUUUUUUAAGGUUUUUCAAAUCCCAGGACAAAAUAACACAUAAUGUAAACUAGAUUUGCAUGCCUGGUUGUUUGCGAAAAGUGACCAAAUUCUAGUAACUUUUUUUUUUUUCUGUGAUUUUUAUUGCCGGACAACACCUCCAUUACAUGUGUUGGCCGGCAGUCACAACUCGUACUUCAAAAUAUAGUACACAAAAAGAUAUUAAAUCCAAGUCAACCCUGCGUUACCAUAGCAAGCGUGCAUUUCUACAGAUCUACUGACAACAGAUCUAUAUAAAAAUAAAAAUUGGCUGAUGAUGUCUUGAUUCAGACAAUCAAAUCCCUGCAAACAGACUUUCUUAACCAGGAUAUAAGAGAUUUAUGAUCCACUUUCGUUGCUGACCUCCAACAAACAUUUUGUAUAUGUGUAGGUACAUGUUGUUUUAGAGGACAAGUAUCCUCUUCAUUUCAUUUAGGGGACAUAGGAAGGAAGGAUCCUCCCCUUAAAACCUUCCAUUCACCCCUUAGAUGAUGAUGACACCCCAUCAGUCACCUGUCUACCCUUGUUGCAAAUAAUUCAUAAUGAGCAGCACUUUUGCCAAACCAUCGUUCCACUUAAGCUUUUACAUGGCUCUGUCACUUAACAAUGGUCUAAUGAAAUAAUUUAUCAGCACCUUGAUUUGAUGUCUACUCCACAACAUCACAUCUAGAAAACCAUAUACAGUUCGAAGUGGAUAACAUCUAGCCUUCUAUUGUUGUAUAGAAAAUGGCGAGAUGUCAUAUUGUCAUGUCACUCACUAGAAUAGGUAAACAGAGAAUCCUCCAUUUACCCCCUAAACGGAGGGGAACUCUGUCCUCUUUUAGUUAAAGAGAAUAAACCAGCAGUGCCACUCGCUGAAAAGGUGUAUAGAAAAUCCUACAUUUACCCCCACAGACGAAAAGGAUGUAUAUCAUCUUCAAGUAAAGAAAAUCAGGGAAAGAAUCAACCAUGAUCUCACCUAUUAAGCUUAUACAAUGAAACAGCAGAUACAGAAUCUGAUCACCUAGAUCACAAAUCCAUGCUUCCUUUUCCAAUAUGCUAUCAUCACACAGAUCAAAGUUUACUAGUAAACCAACGUCACAUCAUCAAUCGGAAAACCAGCAACAUGAAAGCAAUUGUCACUGGUACAAGAAACGGCUAAUGAAAAUUGUUUGAACAGAGCGUCAUCACCUCUAUCAAGGCAAAAAUGAAAUUGCAGAUGCCAAAAAGCCGAGGGGAGAAGAUACCAGAUCAGGUUAGGACUACAAAAAUAAGCAAGGAUGAUACGACAAAGUAGCAUACCAAAGAGAAGUUCCCGCCAAAAAAAAAGAAAAAGAAACGUAAUACAAUGAAAGAAAGCAGUACAAGACAACAUAAGGAGCAUUUUUACACAACUUCAAUUCAGUUCUCUUGGAAGCUGACCACUGUAGAUGAGUACAAUAAGUGAAAAUCGAAAUGUGACCUGUAAUUCUCCACUAAAAUACAGGACGAGGUCUCCUAACCUCUAUUAACAAUAGAAUAUUGAAAGAGUAAGCAAUAAUUUUUUAAGAGCUCUAGUGGACAUUUUCAAAUUAAUUGGUCAUAUCAAGGAUUCCCCCGUGAACAAAAUAUCUUAUACCGAUUAGAUUAAUCCCUGAACUCUUAAAGGCUCGAUAGAAAACAAAUACAGCUACACCGUCUACAAGGCAAAACUCUGAGCUUUAAGGUGGGAUUGUCUUGAUGCCAAGAUAUUGCCUGACCUAACUAGUGACCGUAAACUUCCUAGAAAGUAGUCGAUAUCCAUCCUAUUAUAUUGUCCAAAUCUAGUUGAUUCCUUUAUUUAGGACCCAAUCAGAGCUAAUGCUAGUAAACAUGACCAAACAUUCAAAACCAGCAGAAUAGGUUAGUAAAUGCUCUGUACCAACAGGCAUUGGCAAUACAUUCGACUAGAGAUAGACCCCUCGUGCUUAUUCUUGGAAGCUUCAUUCUUGUUUUACCAAUCCAAUGAAGAAGUAAUAAAGCUGCCUACCAUUAUUCGUCACAUUGCUUUCCACAUUUUUUUCCCCUAACUAAGCAACAUUUAAUGAAUGACACGUAAUUUCAGCAAUAAAAUGGCAGUGACAACCCCAACACUGAAAAAAUAGGGAGCAAGAACUGAGAAGCAAACGAGGGAUUUACAAACCCAAAUAUAAUCCCCUUGUCAAACAACACCAAUAAUCACAAGUCAUCAAUUUUUAGCAACUUUUCUAAGUUGCUUAGAAAAAAGAGGCUACCAUCGUAAUUUCAAUCCAGUUCAAAUUUUCAUAUAACGACGAGAGAGCCCUAGGAUUGCACUAAACCAAUUCAAUCAGUAUCUAUAUACAUUCAACAAUAAAGUCAAAUUCAGGCACUGAAAUAGUCUUAAACUCCGUUACAAAAUGAUGGGACCAUGAGUGGCACAAAUGUCUCCACUCUACUAACUUGUCAAGGCAUGCACAUACUGGUACCAACACAAGUUGAAGGAAGAAUAAUUUUCGACUAACAGCCAAAGAGAAAGGAACCAUCCAUGAAUUUCCAAUAUCAGAGCUAAAAGAAAAUACAAGGAAAAUUGGAUACCAUCCUUUUUAUUGGAAAAAUAUACAACAAAAGAACAAGAUUUUCAAGGAAAAACCUAAAUCUUUUGUACAAAUAAGGAAAAAGAAACAAACAGUAGUAUCGACCAAAAAUAGUAAACCUAGACAAAUUAGCCAGCCCGACCCGACCGUCCACCCACCCAAAACAACCCAACCACCUCCCCCUCCCCAAAAGGAAGAAAGAAAAAAGAAGUGUGACUAACCUCUAAUAGAAACUUGAAUUUUCCCAAAUUCAUCAUAGUUACCCACCAUAUCAUAAUCACCAAAAAACUUCACGUUUCACCUCCAACCCCUAAAAAGUAAAUUGGACUUUCCAAUUCAGCUAAGAUUUCUUCUAUUCUUCCCUUGCAGUACUUGGAUCAAAUUUUUUGCAUUUCUUCUCACCUUCUCAUUAUCAUCUUCCAACAACCCCAAACAAAUCUCAAAAAUGCCUUCUCUUAAAACUUCCAAACACAUUCUUUCACUACAACUACACAACAAAUUUAUAGUCAAAAGCCCAUAUUGUACCCCUCUUGAACUCCCAUUUUUCAAUACAAAAAUCAAAAUUUCCAAAAACCCAUCAUAGUCUAGCAUUUCUUUUCUGCCCUCUGCACAUUUUGCCAGCAAGCCCAAAACUUCCACGGCCCGCUCUAGUCCCGAACUCGCAUUUUGGAUUAGUAUCGGAACGGCCCGAUUCUCCACGGCCCGAACCCGAUUAUCAGCGAAGGAGCAGAGGGUGAACAGAGCUGUGGCGGCCUCUUUUCUCUCCCUUCCAUUCCCGGCCCGGAGAAGCCCGACUAGGCCCGAAAUGGCUUUCGGGUACGCCCCGAUUGUGGCCUUGUUGACUUCCACCACCGCGAGGCUGGUCAACACCGUAGCUGCCACAGCACGGGAGUCACCGUAGCCAGAGCGAACAGCGGCGACUAAUUUUCCGACAACCCCUUCGGCGACGAGCCCGACUUUGUUAUCGUCAUCCAAGCUCAAGUUAAGCAGCAAAUGGAGGGCUUUUGCUUGGAGCGAGGUGUCGUCGGCGUUGACGCAGUUCAAAACAGCUGACACAGCUCCGGACUCAGUCAGUCGGCGGCGAAUUGAGGAAUCCCGUUUACAGAGGCGACCCAGCUGGUCGAGCGAGUCGAGCUUGCAGACCAGAUGAGAAGAAACGGAGACGAUGGUUUGGAUUAAGGAAUUCGGGUCCGGGUUGGCAUGGGGUUGGGGGAGAGGGACGAGGGUAUAACUGGAAAUUAAGCUCCGAAGGGCGUGGUUGGGGAUGAGGGAAGGUGGCUCGGAGAGGGGUAGUUUAGUAAUCGGACAUGUACGAUGGCCGGCGUCAAGCCACCGUUGGAUUGAGGAGCGAUCAAAGGUAUGGCCCGAUGAGAGAAUAACCGGGUCAGACAUUAUCUCGAGGGAAAUGGGGCAUUUAAAGUCGUCCGGAAACUGGGUUGCCAUUUUUCUUUGCUCUCAAAUCUUUUACCACCCCUCCCUCUCUCACCCAAUCACUCAGUCUGCAUAUAUCUGCGGUGUUUUCGAGUGUAAAUGGUGCGUGUACUGUGUGUACUAUGUGACACGGUGUGUGUGGAGGUGAGAGAGAGGGUUUAUGAGGUUUAGUUCUAAGCUGGGGAAGUGCGAGUGCGACGCAAGUGAGGAUUAAUAUGAGGUUGAGAAGUUUGAGUUUGGGACACUGUCAUAUGUUGCAAGAUGACAAUCUUGCCCCUCAUGAGAAUGACAUUUGAAAAAAAAAAGUUUUUCUUUUUUGGUCGACACGCUCGUUGAGUGUGUUUGGAUAGGAGAUUAUAUAUUUUACCAUUUGUGAUGUGAGAGCAAGCAAGUGGUUUUAUAAAAAGAGAAUUCUACUUGAAUGAAAAUACAACUUAUAGGGCAGUCACCAAAAAAAAAAAAAAAAAAUUGGUUAGCUUUCUAAUUUUAAGAGUACUUGUGUUUGUGUCUAUCAUUCAGAUAUAUCUAGCUUUUUAAAGUUGUUGUUUAGUAUAGAUGAAUUAUUUGAUAAAAGAUUUUAGUAGCAUGCUAGAUAUUCUAUUAGUUAUGAGUUCUUAUAUUUGUAUCUAUCAUUUAAAUAUAUCAAGUUUUUAAAGUUGUUUAGUAUAGAUGAACUCUUUGAUAAAAGAUUUUAGUAGGACGGUAGAUAUUCUAAUAGUUAUAGACAUAUAUAAAACUUCUUUAACUAUUAUUUGUAUUGCUUGACAUUUUAAAUACUCAUGAAAUUGUCUAAAAAGCGGGAUUUAAAAUAUAAACACAACAAACAACGAUGAGAUAUAGGAUAAUAAUAGAGUUUAGAAAAUUAGUGAUCUAAGAAUAAUGUGUAACUUUAAAAUUCAAAAAAAAAUAAUAAUGUUUAAAUUAAUUCAAAAAUGUGAUUUUAAAAAAAAUUAUUUUCCCUUGUAGGGUCACGAAUAACUACCUACAUAAAUUAGGCCAAUAGAUGCUAAACCACAAUUAAUUCAACAUCCUACCUGCCUAGCUUAAAUUAAGGGUAGAAGAGUUUUUUUUAUGUUUUUGUUUAAGUAGGACUUCAAACCUCUCAAGGGGAUAGGGAGAGAGAGUGUGUGUCGGAGUUGAAUCAAAAAAUCUCAUUUUUCAUUUGAUUGAUGUCUUUACUAUUUAAUUGAGUGCUAAGAUAGAGCUUGAAUUGCCAAGUUUUAGAGUUCCUGUGCGUUAUAUCAACGUAAUAUAUGUAAGAUAAAACAGUAAUUAAAAAAUACGUCGAAAGAAUUUUUCAAAAAAAAAAAAACUGAGAGUCCAAAUAAGGAUAAAACUUUCAUUCUAAAGACAUUUAGAUUUGAAAUAUAUGGACCAAACCUUUUACGCAUGCCAGUCAAAUGAAGUAUUCUCAUAUUUGAUUGGGAUUAUUUAAAUUAAACCCUCCUAGUGCACAUAUAAAAUAAACCAAUGCCUGCCAAACAAUGGCAUGGAAUUCAAAGGUGAGAAUGGAAGUUGCUUAACUAACUAGCCAAGAUAGGUGGUUGUUAUACUUGUUAAGUUUGAAGAACAGAUAACUAAAAAAGUAAACAACCAUCAUAAUAUUACCAAUUAGAGGAGACAUUUGAUAUGAUAUAAAAGAAAAGUCGACGACUGAAGGAGAUCAGAAUAAAGGUAAAGCUAUCAAUAUAAUUAAUGUUUAAAAUGGGGUACUUUGGAAACAUCAAAUAAGUACUAAGUUGAAGAGUUCAACGUAAUACUACUACCAUUCACAAUUGACUAAGAAAAGUUAUUAACUAAAACUUGACAAAGGAAAAGCUUGACGAGAAGUUUGAAACUGUAGUUUAUAUUGCAACAACAUGUAUUUUUUUUAAAUAUAUACUACUGCAUUAUAAAUCAAGAAGGAAAAAAGAAAAGGAAAGAGCUGCAAAGGCGAGUCUUUUUCUUUCUCUUUCUUUUUCUAUUAUAUUAGCAUGAUGUUUUCGAUAGACUUAGGGGCGCUUGGUUCAAACUUAGGAAUUGGAAUUGGAAUUGUAAUUGGAAUCAUACAAAAAAAACUUAGUAUGGGUUUUGGUUUUGGACAAAAAUAUGAUUACAAAUGAGGGUGCUUGGUAAAUAUUGGUAAGGAAUGAGUAUCAAAUUUAAUAAUCAAUUUUUUACCUUUAAUUUUUUUUUUCUUUUCAUAUCUUUCUUCUUUCUCAUUCAAAUGCUUAUCCCACAUACCCAUCCACCAUAUAAAUAUAAAUAUAUAUAUAUAUAUUCAUAUAUAAAUAUAAAUAUAAAUAUUUUGUUUAAAAUAUAUUUAUUUAUAUGUAUUUAUAUAAAUUUAUAAAUAUGUUUAUUUCAAUUUUGUUUUAUAAUAUGUAUAUUAAUAUAUAUUAAUAUGUAUAUUUCAAUUAUGUAUAUUAAUAUGUAUAUUAUAUAUAUUAUAUCAAUUGAAAUAAAUAUUAUAUAUUUAUAUAUAAAUAUUUUUGUUUAAAAUAUAUUUAUAUAUAUUUAUAUUUAUAUUUAUAUUUAUAUAUUUAUUUAUAAAUAUAUAAAUAAAUAUAUAAAUAUAUUUAUUUCAUUUUAUUUUAUAAUAUGUAUAUUAACAUAUAUUAAUAUGUAUAUUUCAAUUAAUAAUUAUAAUUUAUUAUAUAUAAAAAUUAUAUUCAUAUUAAUAUGUAUAUUAAUAUUAAUGUGUAUGUUAUAUAUAUAUUAUAUCAAUUGAAAUAAAUAUAUAUUUAUAUAUAAAUAUUAAUAUUUUGUUUCAAAUAUAUUUAUAUAAAUUUAUAUAUAUAUUUAUAUAAACAUAUAAAUAUAUAUUUCAAAUUUGUUUUAUAAUAUGUAUAUUAAUAUAUGUUAAUAUAUAUUUAUAAAUUAUAUUUAUAUUAUAUAUAUAUAUAUUAAUAUACAUAUUCUAAAACAAAUUUGAAAUAAAAAAUAUUAUAUAUAUAAAUAAAUAAAUAUUAAUAUAUAGAAACAGAGCUAGUAUAUAUUUUUAGAAAAAUCCCAAAAAUAAUUUUUUUUAAAAAAAAAAAUUUUGGAAUCAAAUGUGGGAUUCAUCAAAACCCUCCAAUCUAGUUGGGGAUUGAGAGUGACUGAUUUUUCAUGAUUCAUUCCAAGAUUUCAAAACCCAUACCCAUUAGCGAAGCAAUAAUUCUGGGGCUCAAUCUAAUUCUUGAUUCCUAUACCCUCCAACCAAGCACCCCUUAAUAGUUUUGGAAAUAGUGGGGUCCUUUUCUUGCAGGGGUAAUUUUGUAAAAGGAUUCACUUUCUUAACUUUUUCAUCAAUGCCAACAAAAGCCAGAUUUUGUGGAUAGGAUUGCAUAAGGAUAAUUCUGGAAGUAAGCUUAAAUUUCUUCCGUUUUAAACUUGGUACCAAGAGCUGUUGCGGUUACUGAAAUUACAAGAAUAGCCUUAUAGUGUCAGAAGAAACCUUGGCCGGUCACGACUCCAGCGUUCACUUGGAAAAUGACAUGGAAAUUUCUCAAAACAUAAGUACUGGAUGAGCUAUGAGGGUGUUUCUCAACCUUUUUAGUAUUUUGAUAUUUUUGGACCAUUUUCAGCUUCGACCAAUUUCCCACCACUCAAUAAGUUAGUUGAAAAAUAAGAUUCAAUUUCUUUUUUCAAAAAUAUGUUAGUUUUUAACUCUCAUUUUUUAAAUAUUUUUGUUCCUUAUUUCCUUUUCCAUUAAAGUAGGCAUAGUAAUUAUGGAAAUCAAGAGAGAGAGGACAGUUAACUAUUAUACGAAGACUAAAACAAAAAAAAAAAAAGAAAAAGAAAAACUCCAAUCGUUGUUGAGUUCAGCUAUAUUCAAAAUUAUAUUGUUUACUUUUUGCAGUAUAUCUUUCUCUUCUCCUGCUCCUUUGAGAAGUGGGUUAGGGAUGAAACAAACACAAUAAUAUGUUUGUCACGUUAGGAAAAAGGAUACAGUUAACUCUCAUAAUUUUUCUUAAAAUAAAAAAAAAUUUAAGUGAAAGGUUUUGAAUUCAAAACUCUUAUUUAUAAUUUCUUUUCUCUUACCAUCCAAUCCAAUCCUUCUCCGGUUAACUCACAUCUUGGUGAAUAUUGACUCCUUGCUUAAUCAUCUUCUAUUCCUUUAAAAGAAGAUUCCUAUUUUCUUUUUUCUCCUAGAAAAAGAAAAGGAACUACUUUUUCACGCUGAGAUGAUCUGAACAAAAGUGUUCAGACAAUUCAAAAUUUCACUGUCCAUUCGCCCACGUAUGUGAUCACUCUUACGUAAAUAUCAAUUUUAUCCUUUGAGAAUAUAAUUGAUGCUGCACUUUUGGAUAUUCGUUCCUUUGCUCACAGCGCUAAUAUCUUUGACUUUUGGGAGUAUUAGUACUAGUUUGCACUGUCAAAAAAGGGAUAAUUUCUUGUACCUCCUCUAAGGUUUGUCAUAAUUACAAAGACCUCCUUUCAGGCUUGGAAAAGGAGCAGAGUGAUACUGGUGAAGACAGAAAAUUGAGAGAGAACUUGGAGUAAAGUGAUGGUGAUGGUGGGAAAAUUAUAAGAAAAGAUUGAAAAAGGAGGGCUAGGUAAUCGUGGUUAUAGAGAGAGUUGAGAGGAUACAAAUUGGGAAAAAAGGGCAGGCAAAAAAGGUAUUGGUGGCAAGGAUGAAGAUGAAAAGUGACUCUUUUUCUUCAAGUAUUUUUGGUUUAAGUAUUAUGUCAAGGACUCAAGGUAUUGUAGCCAUUUUGUAUUCGUAUGGAAAGUAAGUGGUAUUUCUCAAACUUGAGGGGAAGACUCUUGUAAUUAUGAUAAAUCUUAAGGAAGGUAUGUGGAAUUUAUCCUGUCUGAAGAAUAAUACCCUUUAGGCAGUUAAAAUUAGCCCUAAACUACCUUAUGCGCCUAGUUUCCAAGCUUAAUCAACCAUCCUACCCAUGCACAUGCAAUUUUCCUCCAAAAAAAAAAAAAAAAAAACUAUCUUGUUUGAAUUGCAAUUUUUCUUCAAAAAAAUUUUACAUGUUAGGUGAACAUAUUUUUCAAUCAUCUCUUCACCUCGUAUACGUCAAAUCGUUACAAGAUAUUUUUCAAUAAAAACUGUAAAAAAUAGCAAUCCAUCUAACCAACAAAUCUUGAUAAACCACUCCUACAAUUGCAGAAUUUCUGCCCUUAUUCCAUGUUAAACCUUCAAAUUGGACAAAGCGCAUGCUUGGUAGGUGCUAUUUUUGCAUAGAUUUUGCUACAACAAGCUUUUGCCACUUUUUGAUUGUGUUUUAUUGAGAAAAAUUCUGAAUGCGCCAAGCUUUGACAAGCUUUUCUUUGACAGAUAUCUAUAUCUAUAUCUAUAUCUAUAUAUAUAAAAAAAAAACAGUAAAAAGAUUCUUCGUCUUUCUUCGUAUCUAACCACAAGCAUGGAAGACCAUCAGGCCAUGAAUGGCUUUAACAGUAGUAUAACUACCCUGCCAGCGACCCAAAAUCCUUUUUUUUUUCCCCGAAAGGAAAAGGUGAUAAAUUUAUUCGCACAUCUGUGGAUUAACUUCUACAAUAAGAACGGAUAUGCAGAUAAAGUGACUCCAGUGAAAGAAAGCUACCUAAAAGCCAAAUUUAUAAUUUCUAGGUGACUUUUAUUGUAUCUUACUUCUUCCUUUGACUAUCAUUUUAGGCAAUUACAAGGCAAUAUAGAAUACGAUAAUUCAGUGGUUUGAUGCCAAUCUAUCGUUAAGUAAGUCAAAGUUCAAGAUUUCCACUCCAUUAGUAAUUAUAAAAAAUAAAUACUGUCAUUAUCUUUUGAAAUGUUAAAUAUGUUUGCCAAAACGGAAGUUAAAAAUCACACUCAAGUAAAAUUUUACUCGAUGUCUACAACAAUAAAAUACUUUUAAACUUAGGCUCCAUUUGAGUUUGUGGUGCUUUUGUUAAAAAAAUAUAUAUAUAUUUUUGGAGUAGAAGAGCACUUUUAAUGUGCAUUGUAAACGUAAUUUCUUGGAUUUAAUAGCGAAACUUUCCUUUAUUAAAGCACUUUUAGCAAAAGUUCACAAAAUGAUGCUUUUAGAGCAACUUUCAUAUUUAAAAAAAAAAUAAAAUACUAACUUUAAAAAAUUUAUUGUAAAAUUUGAACUGAAUGAAGAGAUACAUGUGUUUUAGAAAUUCAAAAGUGCAUAUUAUCAAAUAAAAAAAAGUACUCAUGCAAGUAUGCAUCCGAACAAUAUGAUUAAAUAUUUUAUAAGUACUUUAAUUGAAAACUCUGAUAAUUUAAGCACUUUUUUGAUGCGUUCUUUGGAGCUUAAGUUUCCAUUUGAUAUGGUACUCAUGCUAAAGAGGAUUUUUAAAAGGGAUACUUGAUCCUAGUUACUUCAAAACCUCGAUUCGUUCUAGAAGGGAAUCGCAUUUUUUCUAGCUUUAGAGGGCAAGAAAUAGAAAAAGUAAAAUAUAAUCAAGCAGAGGGAAGAAAUGGAUUUGAUAAUGUAAAGUACAGGGGAUAAAAGUAGAGAGUCUCGAAUUCGAAACCUUCCUCCCCUAAUAAGAAGGAAAUGUAGUAUAAUGAAGGAGGUUGAGUAUCUGACAAGUGUUAGAAAAGUGAGCAACUGAAUUUAUUAAAGAAAAGUGGAAAAGUAAUGCCACGGCAUUUAUGAGUCGGACCGGUGAGUGAGUUUCAUUCAUCCUCAAAACCAAUCUCAGCUCCAUUUAAAGUCACGCUAACGCGUCUUAACCACACCGGUUUGACUUUUAGUUGAUGGGGUCACAGAAAUGUCGGAGAAAGCGAGAGAGAGAUGCCAGUGACGCGGUAGAAGACAUCAAAAACCACGAGCUUCGUUCAUGAUUCAGCCCCUCUAUUAUUUGACUAGGAAAGCUCAAGUAAUGGACGAGGCUCUUGCGGCUUUGAAGCUCAAUAGUAGUACAAGUUACUGCAUUCGAAUCUCUUCUAGCGACGCUCGAGAUCAAAUAUGGCUUUGUUUGGAUUAUAUUUUUAAAAAAAUUUUUUUAUAAAAAAAUUAUUAUAACGAUUUGAUAUAUAUGAAAUCAAAAGGUGAUUAAAAAUAUAUAUUUAUGAAAAAUGUAAUAAUUAUUAUUAUUUUUAAAAAAUUGCAAUCUAAACAAUGCCUAUCCAAACUCAACUUCAUUUUAGUAUUCUAGAAACUUCAUAACAAAAUUAGAGGAACUUGAAUCAAACAAGUUUUUGUUGAAUGAGGUGCAAAUCAUCAAGUUCUAAGUUGAGUGUAAAUUGGUUCUCAAACAGAGGGGCACCAUCAAAUGAAUACUGCAAGGGCCUAGUUAGCUUUUAAGUAAGCCAGCGUUAUCCACUAUGUACCUUAUGAAUUUUCUCAUGGCGAAUAUCCAACUUAUAACGUGGUGCACUCUUUUUUUUUUUAAUAUAAAUAAAAGGUUUCGAAUUCAGAAACUAUCGUCUAUGCUAACUCGUAUAUUAAACUUUUUUAAUUAGAAUUCGAGAGAUUUUACCCUUUCUUUUUUGGAAGGAUUUUUUUUCGGUGGUGGGCCCGAUGAAGGGCGCAGGUGUUUUUUUUUUUUUUUUUUUAAGGGGGUGGUGGUGGUGGUGGUUAUUGACGGGAAUAAUGGAAUAUACCAUAGUCGCAUGACUGGACGGAGAUGGGCUCUUCGUCUAAUAGAGGUUGGGUCAUUUUCUUGGUCUCUAUUGUCCGCAGUAGGGCCACAGCCAAUCAAUGAAUUGCCCCAUCCGAGGGAAAUUAUCCUGCGGCUGAAGGGAGGCCGAAAAGUCUUAACGUUUAUGGUCAAUUACAGUUUGCACCCUUAAACUAUGGGGCUCACUUCCACCUUACCCCACCUAGAUGCAAACUGGAGACACUACUAUACUAUGAUUUCAAGCUAGGGCAAAAAAAAAAAAAAAAAAUUCUUAGUGAGAACAUUUUUGUUUGAAAGCUAGCAGCAAAAGACUAAAUAGCCCUUAUGUGUUUAAUGACCAAUAUACCAUUUGAAUUCCCUUUUUCAAACUUUAUUCAUUAUUGAUGGAGAUGUCAUGUUAUAUGAAUGUAGGCCUGUUAACGGGUCGGGUCUAGACCCGGAUCCGGACCGGAUCAGUGAAAUUAUUACGGGUAUGGGUAGGGAUUUAAUUCCGUUUCCCGGAUCCGGAUUCGGAUCCGUUUUGUCAAACAAAAAAACGGGUCGGAUACGGAAUAUAGUAUUCCGACCCGUAUUAGACCCGGAUCCGGAUAUAAAUGAAUUAAUAAUUUAAAAAAUAUAUAUUUAUCAAUAUAAUUUGAUUAGGGUGAUGUAUUUUAAUAAAAUUAAUUUGAUUUCUUUUCUUAUUUGAUUUUUUCUUUGCAUUAGUUAGAAAUCAGUUUACAAAUAUAUUUUUUUCUCAUUUUUAUUAGAAAUUAUAAAAUUUGGUAAAUUUGUUCGGGUAGACCCGGAUCCGGAUCCGGGACCCGCCGGAUCCGGAUCCGGAACAUAGAAUAAAAGACCCGUCGGGUAAACGGGGUCGGAUCCGGAUCCGGCAUAGUAAUUCGGGUCCGGGUUCGGAAUAAUGAAUUUCGGCCCGGACCCGGCCCGUUGACAGUCCUAUAUGAAUGUGUCUACCUAAUUCAAAAAAACAAAAUCCUCAAACCAUGUUUGAUAACUAAUAUAGUUAUGUUCUUUAGGCUGUUUAAAGGAUCAAAUGCCCUUAGCGUGGACCAGUAAUAUGAACAAGGGGCCAUAAGUAGAUAGAUGAAUGAAAGGGGACGGAACAAUAAAAUGAACGUAACUUGAGAAAACUCAAAUCCCCUUCACCCAAAAUGGAAUAGCUGACAAAUCCUAGCGAUAAAAAAAGAAAAAGGGAAAAAAAAAAAAAGAGAAGAGAACAUUUUGACCAUACAUUUUAUUUCGGGCUUUAAUGUAGAAAAAACCUUGCGAACUACAAGGAUGUACGUUCGACAAGUAUGUUGGAAACACUAAUUAUUAUGCUAACAAGAUACAUCAUGAAAAUCAACCUUCUUAAAACUUGAAAAUCUUUUCAAUAAUUAAAAAAACAAAAAACUUGCAUAAACCAAUUUCUUUUAGAUCACAAGUUUCAAUUUACUCAAACCAGCGAUUCACUAGCUAUCCUUAAUCUAGACUCUCUGGUUAAAGAGAAAGGUCAAAUUUUGGAUAGAUCCGAUUUUCAAAGAUUCAAUGAUCCAAAUUGUGUCACACUACUUGAUGAGAAUGCAUGGCACAAUUUGGAUAAUUAAAUCUUUGAAAAUCGGAUCUAUUUAGAUAUGAACAAAAGAGAAUACGUGAUUGCUUAAAAGGUUCUAUACAUUACAAAUUUUAUUUAUAAAAAAAAAAAAAUCAUCUCUCAGCAUAGUUUUACACUUGAAGUCAAUCGUAACUUUUUUUUUUUUCAGUAGGUAAUCUAGGGUGGCAUAUGGUCCAGAGCAAAAUUAUGGCGUUGGUCAAUGGUUUCUCCAUGCUAGAAACAUUCACGAAAAGUAAGCAAGAAAAAGCAGGAAUAUCAAUCAUGUUAGGCGCAAGCUUUAUGGCUUUAACGGGCAUGGAGACAUGACAUGGUGUUGAACAAGGAAUCCAUCAUCUUCACUUCUCCACUCGUCUAAUCUUUCAAUCAAUUACCAAUCCUUCCUCAGCAGUCGGACAAUUUCCAAACAUAAAAGCAAAAGAAAGAAAAAGUGCUCAAAAGGAGCAAUCAUCGCAUCAAAUCUGUGGAAAGGCUUCUUCUAGCAAUCUUCCAGCACCACCCGUUAGCUCAGGACUCAACCUGAACAUCAACAUGCAAAACUCCAGCUGGUUAAGUGCACCAUCACCGUCCAAAUCUCCCUCUUUAAUCAUGCUUUUGAUCUCCUCGUCCUGGAAAUCUUGCAAUCCAAGAAGAGCAGAUUUUUUCUUGAGGCUGUCAAAGGUGAUCAAGCCCUUUUUACCGUCCAUGAGCAGCUGAAAUCCAUUACAUAGCUCUUUGAUCAAUCCCUCACCUCCUAGCUUAUCGGCCAUAGUAGGCAACAGAUCUUCAAAAUGAAUUGUCGUUGGACUUCUAGCAUCCAUCGGAAUUAUGUUAAAAGCUCCAAUAUCAAACAAGCAAACGAUUCAUGGGGCAAUGGAAACUAGAAAAGUGUGGGUAUUAAUAGUGCUGAAACUCUUUGGUUAAUUACAAGGAAAAUUACGUAAGGCUAUAAAUAUUAACAGGUCCAAGAUGCCAGCGUCCAUGGUUACGAGGAAAAUUACAUAAAUUAUAUAAGGGCCACAGAUGGACCAGAAAGAUGUUUAUGAACCAGUCCACGAAGCCCACUCAUGACUGGGUCAUAACAGAAACAGGUUGUCCACUGACAAUGAUUCCCCAGCUGCAAGGUGUUUUCUUCCACCAGCCCAAAAGCUUAUGCACCCUGACGAAGUAGGUAGAAAUUAGAAACCACCAAGCAGCAGCACAGAACCUAUAGGGCAGGAACGGUGCUGACUGUUUAAGAGCACCGUUCUAGCAUAGGGAAACCAUUGACCAACGCCAUAAUUUUGCUCUGGACCAUAUGCCACCCUAGAUUUCCCACUUAAAAAAAAAAAAAAUACGAUUGAUUUCAAGUGUAAAACUAUGCUGAGAGAAUUUUUUUUUUAAAAGUAAAAUUUGCAAUGUGUAGAACCUUUUAAGCAAUCAAGUUUUCUCUUUUGUUCACAUCUAAAUAGAUCAGAUUUUCAAAGAUUCAAUGGUUCAGAUUGUGUCACAAUAUUUGAAAAGAGAGCCUUAAUUGAACAGAUGUAGAUCUUGAACAGCUUUGUUUAUGAGUACUAAAUUAUGAACUGCAUUGAAUUAGAAGAUCAGUCGAAACAAGAAGAAGCAAAAAUGAAAUAAAAGAUAAAGACUAACACUAAAAGCUUGGACAACCAGAUGACCAAGAACAGACUAGUCAAUUAGCUGAAGAACGCACGAAAAAUUCCAUAUUACAUUUCUUACAGUUAAUAAAUGUAAGUGGAGUAAUCACAAACCAUGAGCAUAACCACAAUUCCUGGAUAGGAAAAGAAGGCGGCAAAAUUUAAAGAGCACGUUCAUGAAAAAGAUCAGCAUGUCUUGGUGUACCUUUCCAGCUUAGGUUUCGCAGAAGUCAGAUGUGGUUUAUAUAAUUCUCCAAGAGGUGGCUCAAUGGUCAAUGGAGCGAUUCCAAGUAUAUGAAGCAUUUAGGAUGAAAAUUCCAAAUUACAAGUAGAAUUACCCGAGCUUUUCUUCCGUACAAUUUAUGCAAAUCCAAAGAGAACUUUUCAAUACAUUAAUUUGAUUGAUAGUAACAUGAGCUUUAAGGGGCAUUAUAGCAGAUUAGAGACAUUUUAUUGAUAGCAGCAUUAUUUACACCAAAAAAUGAUUCUCCUCGAGUGUACUAUUAUCAAUCUUAUAUCCUUGUGAUGCCACAGCUACAAAAAUGUUAUCAAAACUAAUAGAUUGCUUCCAAUAAUGGUGACCACUUGAGUUUCAAGAUCUUGACAUCUGCAAGUCAUUAUCUCUAAAUUUGGUGCUCUCAUCACAAUAUGACUUGAGGCAUUGCUCCCACAUUGUAAAUCAUUCAGAAGCAGUAAGGUCUGUAUAGCACAAAAAAUCUGCCAUUGCAAAGUGCUUCCGCGUUCUUUGCUACGCGGGGAUGGAGAACCAUCUCAACUCUAAAGAGGCUAGUUCUGAAUUGAAAAAGGUCAAGGGCUCUAUUCUCCCUCAAGAACCCCCUUCUCCAAGCCUCAAACAACUCGAACUUGCAGCCUCAACAAAGGACUUUGAUACUGGCCAGAUAGACCAGCAGCAUUACCCAGAAUACUUUGGGUAAAAAAAAAAAAGAGGAGAGAGAGAGAGAGUUGGCUAAAAGUCGACAGAAUGAGUUUCGUCAUUUACCUUUACAGGUCCAUUUCAGAUACUCGCAUAGGGUUCCAGAGGCUAGUUUCAUCAGUUAUAUUCAUAGAGCCAGAUUGGAAAAACUACUGCUGUCAUGUGACAAAUAUAGGCUAAGUUCACACCUUGAGGAUAAGUCUACUCAAGUUGGUUCAUAUUAAACACAACCAGUAAGAAAUGUACAUAGACAACAGAGAUCUAGUUUCUAAAUAUACAGCAAAUCUACGAGUAGCUAAACUCUCCCUGGUGGUUGUGAGGAAAGGAGGAGAAAUGAGGAGGUACAAUUAACUUGCUU